GACGAACGCUGGCGGCGUGCUUAACACAUGCAAGUCGAACGGAAAGGCCCUGCUUUUGUGGGGUGCUCGAGUGGCGAACGGGUGAGUAACACGUGAGUAACCUGCCCUUGACUUUGGGAUAACUUCAGGAAACUGGGGCUAAUACCGGAUAGGAGCUCCUGCUGCAUGGUGGGGGUUGGAAAGUUUCGGCGGUUGGGGAUGGACUCGCGGCUUAUCAGCUUGUUGGUGGGGUAGUGGCUUACCAAGGCUUUGACGGGUAGCCGGCCUGAGAGGGUGACCGGCAACAUUGGGACUGAAAUACGGCCCAGACUCCUACGGGAGGCAGCAGUGGGGAUUAUUGCACAAUGGGCGGAAGCCUGAUGCAGCAACGCCGCGUGCGGGAUGACGGCCUUCGGGUUGUAAACCGCUUUCGCCUGUGACGAAGCGUGAGUGACGGUAAUGGGUAUAGAAGCACCGGCUAACUACGUG
RNAcentral lists this ribosomal RNA (468 nucleotides) under uncultured bacterium. Its description in RNAcentral is "partial 16S ribosomal RNA". It matches the Rfam family "Bacterial small subunit ribosomal RNA", at positions 28 to 507 of the family's 1533-position model. The record is from RNAcentral.